AUGAGAAAGAUUAUUUGGAAUGCAGUGAGGAGGAUAUGCUGCAGCGAGCACAAGAAAUAUAUUUACUUUUCACUGCCCACAGCCCACCCUAGUGUGCUCAGCUGCCUCACAAAGCUCUCUCUACAAAAUGUAGACUUUGACAAAUUGGACAUGCACCAUAUCAUCUUUGACUGCUGCAAGCAACUGAAGCAUCUAAGCCUCACUGAGUGUGAUAUUGGUGGUGAUGCGUAUCUUUUUAAGAUUGAUGCACCAAACUCAAAACUAUGUAUUCUAGAGCUCACUAAGUGUGGCUUUGUGAAACUUGAGGUGGUCUGCCUUCUGAAAUUGGAGAAGUUCAAUUUGAAUUCUUUGCUUUUUAGCUACGUGCCAUUGGCCUUUGGUUUUGUCCUGUCUCUUGAAGAAUUGGAACUCAUAAGUACACGAGGGUGUUAUGAGGAACUUAAGUUAAGUGAGCUUCUAUAUGGAACCACAUGCAUACAUACUCUCACAUUGGAUUUCGAAGGAGAAAACCUUUGGAUGCAACCUGAAAUGAAGCAACUUUGCCCGGCUUUCAACAAGCUAAGGAAGUUGUUUGUGCGUGGUAUCUUUGUUGAAUUUGACAUUUUAUGGACGAUGGCCUUUCUUGCAGCGGCACCAUCUAUCGAGAUGUUACAUAUCGAGGUAUGGGACCAUGUAUGCGAUGUGGGUGAAGUGGAAGAUGAUUAUAGACGACAGAACAACACUGAAAGAAGGACUCCUCAAUGGGAAGUGGACUUUAACGACACAAAGAAUUGGAUUUUGAAAGAGCUAGAAUUCAUCGGCUUCAGGUCACUAGAACAACAAUUUACAUUCAUAAGAUCUGUGUUGCAGCGGUCUCCCAACUUGCAUAAGAUAGUUCUGAAAAGAGACGACGAAUGUGAUUUAUGUGCUGCUCAUGGUGCACUGCCUUCAAAAUUCCCCAAGAAGGAUGAACAAGAAAUGAUCAUGAGGCGAAUUAGAGAUGGCAUAUUCUCGCCCCAAAUAGUUUUU
RNAcentral lists this ribosomal RNA (1008 nucleotides) under Triticum aestivum (bread wheat). Its description in RNAcentral is "partial small subunit ribosomal RNA". The record is from RNAcentral. Lineage: Eukaryota; Viridiplantae; Streptophyta; Magnoliopsida; Poales; Poaceae.